CUAUCACAACCUGAGCACGACAAUCAUAAGAUUAGUAUGCAAAAUUAAAGUAGUUUUCUCCUUAGUCCUAGCCAUGGCAGUCAUCAAGAGCAAUCACACACAUGCCAUGGGUUGUUCAAUCUUGAUUGUUGUUACGAUCAUGUCUUCCACUUUGAUCUUACCAACCUAUUGCUAUGAACUUGAUCUUCAUGAAGAGUGCUUGCCCAUUCAAGUCUGCAAUACAAAUGCCUGCCAAAACUUAUGCAGACACGACGGCAACCGUUGGCUCGGGGCCUACUGCAGGACUGGACCAGGCGAUAUGAAAAUAUGUUGUUGCGCUUAUUCCUGAAUCUCUAGUGAUCCUUGUUGUUAUUUGGGGCACUAAUAUUGUCGUUCCCUGUAUCCACCCGCUUGGAAUGCAUUAUCAGUAAAAUAGUUUUUUAGCGAAUCAAUCAAAAUUUUAAUUAUUAUGACCAA
Molecule: long non-coding RNA, 456 nt
Organism: Aegilops tauschii subsp. strangulata
Lineage: Eukaryota; Viridiplantae; Streptophyta; Magnoliopsida; Poales; Poaceae
Source: RefSeq, a predicted model, not a curated record